Molecule: RNA transcript, 1462 nt
Organism: Neocloeon triangulifer
Lineage: Eukaryota; Metazoa; Arthropoda; Insecta; Ephemeroptera; Baetidae
Exons: 6
Source: RefSeq, a predicted model, not a curated record
UCAAAUCAGCCGAUAUCACUCACCUUUUCUCCUCCCUCCCACCACUAUACAUUAUCAACUUUGUGGUGUUCGAAAAGGCAAAUCUCACCCGCCAACCCUAUCGCCGGCCACCGCGAGUCAAGAGCACACCGAGCACACACAUCAACAACGACAUGGUUUCGGUGUCCCCUGAUGGAGAUCUUGUCUACGCCAUGAACGUUCAAACAGGCGAGGAGCGAUGGCUUCAGGUGAACGAGAUCACCAACAUGCCCGAAGAUGGAUACCUCGACGUGUUAGGGGUCAUCGAAACCCAAGAGAUUGGGGCAGAUGGCCAAGUGCGCACCUCGACGUGGAUGAUGAAGCUCUUAAGCGGUGAGAAAAAGGCCACGGCGAACAGGAUGCUGCAGAUGCGAAGAUACCGCUCCCUUCAAGUGGCAGGGGGUCUAAGACUAAGAUCCGGUGCUCCCAGAACUUUGUCAAGGCCCUCAUCCAGCAAUACCUCAAGCUCAAGCGCCUCAAGCAGUGCGGCCAGUGCGACGAAUCGCCAGCAAGUUGAUGCGCACAACAGGGGCGGGACACCUGCAGCCCCCAAUAAUGUGGCCUCAUCUAGAAGAGGCUCUAAUUUGCCGACCUCUCGAGACAACAAACCUGGAAAAAUUUAAACUCGCAGAUUUUUGUUGAAAACGUAGUGAAGAACCCUACAAUUGUUCUGAAGCAGCCGAUAAAAAGGUGACUUGUUUUCUGCCAAGUUUGACGCCGUCAUUAAAAGUUCACCAUUGUAUUCUCUGUGUCCACCAUAAAUUUUACUGUCAGCUGGUGGUCGACAAAUUCCCACUGGACGCAAGUGACCUCUUUUUCAUGACCAACGGGUGCGCAAUUGGGUACUUUUCAUCACUGUCAGUUCUCCUACCCAGUUAUGUUGACCGCAAGUAAAUGCAGCUUCCGUCAAAGAUCCUGACGCCAAAUAGUUGCCACAGUCCCUAAUACUAGCGUGCCUGUACAAACUAUAAAAUGCCUUUAAGGAAUUAUGGUUCUCUCAUGUUCUAAAAAUGCAUUUAAAUAUGUCCUAAAAGAAGUACACAAGUACAAAAUGUUUUGAAUGACAUUAGUUUUAUUAGAGUUUUUGACAAUUAUAAGCGAAAAAUACAAGAGCUUUUUUGCUUUGAUAACCACACCGUGUUUCAAGAAGAUUGAGGUUGUUCACAAGGGGCAUAAAGUGGCACUGGUUGUUCUGGAAAUUCUUCAUAGUAGGCGCUGCCGCUCAUCCAUUGCUUAGUCAAAUCUUGAAGUUUCAUGUCCUCAGGAGCUGGUCCAGUCUUCAUACUUUGGCUCACACAUCCUCCAGCACAUCGUCGUCUGUUUGCCCUGUGGAAAACAAAUUAUAUGAUCGCAUCAUCAUUAGAAUUAUAUCAUAUAUGGAUAAAUUUUUAACCUACACAAGAAGUUUUUCAUUGUUAGAGUGAGCAUGCGUAGAAUAAACAAG